CAGGGGCCGCGCUGGGCUGUGGGAUGCGGACCCAGGAGCUAGGUAGAGGGAAGAGGACGCGGGAAGCAGCCAUGGCUGAGGUCGGAGAGUCUGGGGCUUGGCUGCCAUCAGUCUCCCAGGCGAGGACGUGACUGCUGAGAGUCUGGAUCGUAGGAGGUUUAGGCGUUCGGAAAGCGGGUUGUGGAUACCUGCCUGGGCUUUUGAUUUGAGCCCUGGCUUCGGCCUUACUCCUGUUUCUCCCCGCCAAGGACGGCUUCAGUCGUUCUUGGAAUUGGCGGGGUUUGGACCUUAACUUUAUUUGAGAAUCUACUGCGUGUAAGCACGGUUGUCCUGCGGAGGGAUCUCUUCAGAGCGUGUGAGCUUGAGGGUGGGGGAAUGAGGGCUUGGAGACGCUGAGGUGUGGUCCUUACCCACGUGACACAUUGGAGGUAAAUCCGCUUUAUUAAUUAUGCUAAGCUUUUAUAUAAUCCAGAAGUUUAGGCUUUGGUAGGGUCGGUCGCCCAUUGACUGAAUUAAACGCUCUUGUAUUGAACUCCUUCUAAGUACCCUUUACGGAAACUAGUCCUUAUUCUUUAGGAACUCCUAACAGGACUGGUGGGAGAGAGGGGAGAAAACGUGAGUGGAUGAGGUGGCAGGUGAUGCGUGCUGUGGUGGAAGAAAAUGCUGUGAGAGUCAGAGAAAGGUUUGACUGGGGGAAAUAGAAAAGGUGACAUUUGAGUAAUCCUAAAAUCAAACUUAGGGAUUCUCCCCAUUGAAUGGAAUAAUGGAAGGCACUCCAGUGUAGCAGAGUGUACGUACAGACCAGAGAAAUUAGGAAGAUUUAUCUGUUGGUUAUGGCUGGAGCAAAGCUUGAAUUCCAUGUUAGGAGUCUUUCUGGAUCUUAAAACACAACGUAAGAUAGGUUCCACAAGAUAGUAUUCACAUGCUUCUGUAAUUCAGAGGAAGGCCAGAUACUUCCUUUUGGAUGAUGGCUUUAUGCAAAGUGUCAUUUUGGAGGGUCACAAACUGGAGAGGUGGGAUUGCUGUAUGGGAAGGAUUUCUACUAAGGGAAAUAAGAACUUCCUGCAUGGAAGGCACAAGGUCAAAUAGCGGAUUUAAGAAGAGUAUGGGUUGGGUAGACUGUAAAGUACAUGUUAGGGUUAUGGUAUUAAAGAUACAUCUAGGGCUGGGGAUGUGGCUCAAGUGGUAGCACGCACGCUUGCCUGGCAUGCGUGCGGCCUGGGUUCGAUCCUCAGCACCACAUACAAACAAAGAUGUUGUGUCCGCCGAGAACUAAAAAAUAAAUAAAUAUUUAAAAAAAUUAAAAAAAAAAAAGAUACAUCUAGGUCUGUUUUGUUUUGGUUUGGGUGCUGGGGAUUGAACUCAAGGCUUCAUGCGUGGGUCAGUAUUGAAACAUGGAGAAUGCUAAGCAUAGCAGUUUGGGUUUUAUUUCUUGGACCAUGGGGAAUAAUUGAAUGCUUGAGAGUAAUGAAAUAAUCACACCCCCAUAUUUUAAGGUUAGUGAGGGUGUACGUUGGAUGGGAGAAAAGCUGGAGGCAGUCUGGUCUAGUAGAAGGAACAAAAAUCAGGCAGUCAUGGGCUGGGGUUGUAGCUCAUUGGUAGAGUGCUUGCCUACCACAGGUGAAGCACUGGGUUUGAUCCCAGCAUCACAUAAAAAUAAAUAAAUAAAUAAAGUUAUUGUGUCCAUCUACAACUAAAAAUAUAUAUGAUUCAGAGCUCAGGAUUCCUAUAGAUUUCAUGAUUUUAGGCAGAUUUAUUUAAAUUAAGCUCUCAGUUCCCCCUCCCCACCAUUUCUGACAUAUUUGUUACACUUGUAAGGGAUGAAGAGCUAGCCCAUGUUUGACAGGAACCUAGUUAGUUUCUGUCUCCUUAUAGGGCUUAGUUGUUGAAAGACAAACAUAGAUCAAAAGCUGUCCAUUUUUAAUUAUGGAAUAUCAGUCUAUUGACAUUUUACAGACAGGAAGUAAGUAUAUGAUCACUCCAGAAUUGUAAUUCACAUAUUGACAAUAUGAUGACAAAUGUGUGGAGAAAGUGACUUUGUGAUACUGGUAUUUUUCUAUGUAAGCAAUAGUAUACAACCAGAAUAUAUCACUUGGAAUAAACUAAGUGUAGUCAGCUUUCUCAUUCAGAAAUUCAUUAUUCACGUUGUAGAUUACUCAGGAUUUGCCUUGCUUGCCAAUGGCCUCCCACAUUAGUGAAGGAUAGGAACCUGGAUGCUAUUAGUAGAAAAAUAAAUCUGAUAAUCAGGCCCAGUUUCUCUCUGAUGUUAAUUUGCUGUAGACUUUUGGCAAAUCAUAGCCUGAGUCUUGGAUUCUUAAAUUAGAAGAUUAUUGUAUAAAAAUUUUGUGACUGUAUUUUUGCUUGUUUUAGAGAGAGGGUCUUGGCUGACCUCUAAUUCCUGACCUCAAGUGAUUGGAAUUCCUGCCUUAGCCUCUCAGGUAGCUGGGACCACAGGCAUGUGUUACCAUGUC
This 2471-nucleotide long non-coding RNA is filed under the name Marmota monax (woodchuck). The record is from RNAcentral. Lineage: Eukaryota; Metazoa; Chordata; Mammalia; Rodentia; Sciuridae.